RNAcentral lists this ribosomal RNA (500 nucleotides) under uncultured bacterium. Its description in RNAcentral is "partial 16S ribosomal RNA". It matches the Rfam family "Bacterial small subunit ribosomal RNA", at positions 28 to 523 of the family's 1533-position model. The record is from RNAcentral.
GACGAACGCUGGCGGCGUGGAGAAGGCAUGCAAGUCGAACGGCAGCACGGACUUCGGUCUGGUGGCGAGUGGCGAACGGGUGAGUAAUGUAUCGGAACGUGCCCAGUCGUGGGGGAUAACGUAGUGAAAAUUACGCUAAUACCGCAUACGAUCUAUGGAUGAAAGCGGGGGAUCGCAAGACCUCGCGCGAUUGGAGCGGCCGAUAUCAGAUUAGGUAGUUGGUGGGGUAAAGGCCCACCAAGCCAACGAUCUGUAGCUGGUCUGAGAGGACGACCAGCCACACUGGAACUGAGACACGGUCCAGACUCCUACGGGAGGCAGCAGUGGGGAAUUUUGGACAAUGGGCGAAAGCCUGAUCCAGCCAUUCCGCGUGCAGGAUGAAGGCCCUCGGGUUGUAAACUGCUUUUGUACAGAACGAAAAGGUUUCUACUAAUACUAGGAGCUCAUGACGGUACUGUAAGAAUAAGCACCGGCUAACUACGUGCCAGCCGCCGCGGUAA